CGCGGCCUAUCAGCUUGUUGGAGAGGUAACGGCUCACCAAGGCAUCGACGGGUAGCUGGUCUGAGAGGAUGAUCAGCCACACUGGAACUGAGACACGGUCCAGACUCCUACGGGAGGCAGCAGUGGGGAGUCUUGCACAAUGGGCGCAAGCCUGAUGCAGCAACGCCGCGUGCGGGAAGACGGCCCUAGGGUUGUAAACCGCUUUCAGGAGGGAAGAAAAUGACGGUACCUCCAGAAGAAGGUGCGGCCAACUACGUGCCAGCAGCCGCGGUGACACGUAGGCACCAAGCGUUAUCCGGAUUUAUUGGGCGUAAAGAGCUCGUAGGCGGUUCGGUGAGUCGGGUGUGAAAAUCCAAGGCUCAACCUUGGGACGCCACCCGAUACUGCUGUGACUAGAGUGCAGUAGGGGAGCAGGGAAUUCCUGGUGUAGCGGUGAAAUGCGCAGAUAUCAGGAGGAACACCAGUGGCGAAGGCGCUGCUCUGGGCUGUAACUGACGCUGAGGAGCGAAAGCAUGGGUAGCAAACAGGAUUAGAUACCCUGGUAGUCCAUGCCGUAAACGUUGGGCACUAGGUGUGGGUCUCAACCAACGAGAUCCGCGCCGUCGCUAACGCAUUAAGUGCCCCGCCUGGGGAGUACGGA
RNAcentral lists this ribosomal RNA (640 nucleotides) under uncultured Actinomycetes bacterium. RNAcentral's name for it is "bacterial SSU rRNA". It matches the Rfam family "Bacterial small subunit ribosomal RNA", at positions 232 to 886 of the family's 1533-position model. Lineage: Bacteria; Bacillati; Actinomycetota; Actinomycetes. The record is from RNAcentral.